CAGCACCUCGAGUGGUCAGGAUGAUUAUUGGGCCUAAAGCAUCCGUAGCCGGCUCUGUAAGUUUUCGGUUAAAUCUGUAUGCUCAACAUACAGGCUGCCGGGAAUACUGCAGAGCUAGGGAGUGGGAGAGGUAGACGGUACUCGGUAGGAAGGGGUAAAAUCCUUUGAUCUAUUGAUGACCACCUGUGGCGAAGGCGGUCUACCAGAACACGUCCGACGGUGAGGGAUGAAAGCUGGGGGAGCAAACCGGAUUAGAGACCCGAGUAGUCC
Molecule: ribosomal RNA, 270 nt
Filed under: uncultured archaeon
Lineage: Archaea
Description: partial 16S ribosomal RNA
Rfam family: Archaeal small subunit ribosomal RNA
Source: RNAcentral